AGUGAACGCUGGCGGUAGGCCUAACACAUGCUAGUCGAACGGCAGCACAGUAAGAGCUUGCUCUUACGGGUGGCGAGUGGCGGACGGGUGAGGAAUACAUCGGAAUCUACUUUUUCGUGGGGGAUAACGUAGGGAAACUUACGCUAAUACCGCAUACGACCUACGGGUGAAAGCAGGGGAUCUUCGGCCCUUGCGCGAUUGAAUGAGCCGAUGUCGGAUUAGCUAGUUGGCGGGGUAAAGGCCCACCAAGGCGACGAUCCGUAGCUGGUCUGAGAGGAUGAUCAGCCACACUGGAACUGAGACACGGUCCAGACUCCUACGGGAGGCAGCAGUGGGGAAUAUUGGACAAUGGGCGCAAGCCUUAUCCAGCCAUACCGCGUGGGUGAAGAAGGCGUUCGGGUUGUAAAGCCCUUUUGUUGGGAAAGAAAAGCAGCAGGUUAAUACCCCGCUGUUCUGACGGUACCCAAAGAAUAAGCACCGGCUAACUUCGUG
RNAcentral lists this ribosomal RNA (492 nucleotides) under uncultured bacterium. RNAcentral's name for it is "partial 16S ribosomal RNA". It matches the Rfam family "Bacterial small subunit ribosomal RNA", at positions 29 to 507 of the family's 1533-position model. The record is from RNAcentral.